Molecule: unclassified non-coding RNA, 336 nt
Filed under: soil metagenome
Description: partial contains 5.8S ribosomal RNA, internal transcribed spacer 2, and large subunit ribosomal RNA
Rfam family: 5.8S ribosomal RNA (bases 1-120)
Source: RNAcentral
GAUGAAGAACGCAGCGAAAUGCGAUAAGUAGUGUGAAUUGCAGACUUUAGUGAAUCAUCGAAUCUUUGAACGCACAUUGCGCCCGCCAGUAUUCUGGCGGGCAUGCCUGUUCGAGCGUCAUUUCAACCAUCAAGCCCCAGGCUUGUGUUGGGGACCUGCGGCUGCCGCAGGCCCUGAAAACCAGUGGCGGGCUCGCUGUCACACCGGGCGUAGUAGAUUUUAUCUCGCUCUGGGCGUGCUGCGGGUUCCGGCCGUUAAAAAACCCUUUUAACCCAAGGUUGACCUCGGAUCAGGUAGGAAUACCCGCUGAACUUAAGCAUAUCAAUAAGCGGAGGA